Molecule: ribosomal RNA, 826 nt
Filed under: aquatic bacterium R1-B29
Lineage: Bacteria
Description: bacterial SSU rRNA
Rfam family: Bacterial small subunit ribosomal RNA
Source: RNAcentral
AGAGUUUGAUCAUGGCUCAGAUUGAACGCUGGCGGAAUGCUUUACACAUGCAAGUCGAACGAUGAACCUUAGCUUGCUAAGGGGAUUAGUGGCGAACGGGUGAGUAAUAUAUCGGAACGUACCUUGUAAUGGGGGAUAACUAGUCGAAAGAUUAGCUAAUACCGCAUACGCCCUGAGGGGGAAAGUAGGGGAUCUUCGGACCUUACGUUAUAAGAGCGGCCGAUAUCUGAUUAGCUAGUUGGUGGGGUAAUGGCCUACCAAGGCGACGAUCAGUAGCUGGUCUGAGAGGACGACCAGCCACACUGGAACUGAGACACGGUCCAGACUCCUACGGGAGGCAGCAGUGGGGAAUUUUGGACAAUGGGCGCAAGCCUGAUCCAGCCAUUCCGCGUGAGUGAAGAAGGCCUUCGGGUUGUAAAGCUCUUUCGCAAGGGAAGAAAACUUACACAAUAACACUGUGUGAGGCUGACGGUACCUUGAUAAGAAGCACCGGCUAACUACGUGCCAGCAGCCGCGGUAAUACGUAGGGUGCGAGCGUUAAUCGGAAUUACUGGGCGUAAAGCGUGCGCAGGCGGUUUUGUAAGUCAGAUGUGAAAUCCCCGAGCUCAACUUGGGAACUGCGUUUGAAACUACAAGACUAGAAUAUGUCAGAGGGGGGUAGAAUUCCACGUGUAGCAGUGAAAUGCGUAGAGAUGUGGAGGAAUACCAAUGGCGAAGGCAGCCCCCUGGGAUAAUAUUGACGCUCAUGCACGAAAGCGUGGGGAGCAAACAGGAUUAGAUACCCUGGUAGUCCACGCCCUAAACGAUGUCUACUAGUUGUUGGUGG